Molecule: long non-coding RNA, 1700 nt
Organism: Nematostella vectensis (starlet sea anemone)
Lineage: Eukaryota; Metazoa; Cnidaria; Anthozoa; Actiniaria; Edwardsiidae
Exons: 2
Source: RefSeq, a predicted model, not a curated record
UAUUAUUGCCACGAGGACGAAUCCAUUAAUUUGCUCGUAUCAAUAACCUGUUGACGUCAAUGCAUUUCGCCUGAAGCAAAAUGGCGAUGUUUCAUUUUAGCAAAACACAAGGCGAUGAACAGCUUCAAGAUCAAGAGAUUCCUAAAACAGCUGAAGACAUUUCCUAGCACUUGUCUUGCUGAGUGCUUUUGUAUUCUAUCGAGUCCGUUCUAGUUAAUGGCGCCAGCGCCAUCCCAAGGGAACACAUUUCUAAUUAAUAUACCAAAAAAAAUCCAAUAAAGUUAACGACUAGCAAAAUGAAUUAUCAUAAGCAUAAAAUUAAGACGUCGAGAAGUUUUUGGAACAAUAGAAUUUUGAGCGUUUAACCCAAAUACCCUGAGGCGUUGGCGAAAUAAACAAUUUUCUCAGUUGAACUCGUGCUUGUGGCCUGUUGAAAAUGUUCUGUGAAAAAUACAAUUACAAGGGAAAUGAUUCGUCAAAGUGUCCCCCUCUAAUUAAGUCUUUGUUGUUUUGAACGAGUUCCUUGGAGAGUCAUUUAUUUUCGCUUUGUCUAAUUGACGUUUAUUCAGCAUUGCUAUUCUGAGGGGGCAGGAAAACUGUUUUCUGGGCUCUUGAUCAAUCAAUUCGCAGGAGUCUUGUUUUGACAAGCAUAGCGUGUUAGCUGAUCUCGAACUAUUAUAAAAGAGCAUCGCACUUUCGAGAUGGAUUUGCUAACCUUGAAAACAUGUAACCGGGCCCAAUCGCUCCCGCAAUUGGAGAUGGACACAACAACACACACCACGAAAUCGUCACCGAAAGAUAGACCAGGGGGCAAUAAAUCAAGCAGUCACCUCAAAAUACCUGACAUUCAACUAGAGGGAGAAACACUAGACAUUGACCCAGACAUUCCCGAGAUACACCGCGCGGUGUUAGAGGGUAACCUUCAGCGACUGAUCGAGUUAGUAGAGUCUGGUACUAGUGUGAAUACCCCUGAUCUCGAAGGCUGGCCACCCCUGCACACCGCUAUCAAGCACCAGCAUUAUGACUGCGCACAGUACCUCAUCAAACAUGGCGCCAACGAUUACUUUGAAAGACAACAGGAGGAGUAUAGAAAGCGCUUAAAUUUGUCGAGUAGAAUCGUCAAAGGACGACUGUAUUCGUUUUGAUAAAACUUUGCCAUCAAAGGAAUAGUUGUUUCUGGAUGAGUCAAGCUUGCAGGCUAUUACCCAUUGCGCUAAAUGGUUUAACUAAAAAGACUGCAGACUGGCAGUAGAAAAACUAGAUUGUCUGCGUUGGUAUGAUGUAGAGCUAUAAAUCAACACAAGGUUAAAAAAAACGUAUGUUGUACGCCUCUGUAGAACAAAUACAUUGCGCCACGCUGUCAAAUAGGAUUGUGUGUUUGCAAAAUCAGUCCUUUGCCUGCAAACAGGUUGCACUAAAGACAGUAGACAUGAUACGGAAUUUCAUUCGAGCAAAUUAAAGAUGAAAAGAUGGAAAGCGGCAUUUAGGGGUUACUGCACUUUAUUAGUUAUUUAGUUUAUCUGUAUUUAGCUCUAACUUAAUGUUCUCUUCAAUCAAAUGUAUUUUUUUAGAUAGAAUUUCAAUUUUUACUUUUGCUGUGAUAUUGUCGUUAAAUUUCGCACACAACGCUCAACAAAUUACAUAUAAUGCAUUUAUUGUGAAUGUUUAAAAUCUGUAAAUAAAACAAAGCCUUACCUUCU